Molecule: ribosomal RNA, 463 nt
Filed under: uncultured bacterium
Lineage: Bacteria
Description: partial 16S ribosomal RNA
Rfam family: Bacterial small subunit ribosomal RNA
Source: RNAcentral
GACGAACGCUGGCGGCGUGCUUAACACAUGCAAGUCGAACGGAAAGGCCAUUUCGGAGGUACUCGAGUGGCGAACGGGGGGGUAACACGGGGGUGAUCUGCCCUGCAUUCCGGGAUAAGCAUGGGGAACUGGGUCUAAUAACGGAUAGGAACGCACUCUAGAGUGUGUGUUGUAAAGUUUUAUCGGUGUAGGAUGGGACUGCGGCCUAUCAGAGUGGUGGGGGGGUAAUGGCCUACAAAGGCGGCGACGGGUAGCCGGACUGAGGGGGUGGUCUGGCACAUUGGGACUUCGAGACGGCCCAGUCGCCGACCGGAGGCAGCAGUGGGGAAUAUUGCACAAUGGGCGCGAGCCUGAUGCAGCGACGCCGCGUGGGUGAUGACCGGCUUCGGGUUGAAAACGCCUGUCGCCAGGGACGAAGCGUUUUGUGACGGUACCUGGAGAAGAAGCACCGGCUAACUACGUG